This is a long non-coding RNA of Quercus lobata, 1034 nucleotides long. RefSeq lists it as uncharacterized. The record is from RefSeq and is a predicted model, not a curated record. Lineage: Eukaryota; Viridiplantae; Streptophyta; Magnoliopsida; Fagales; Fagaceae. The transcript has 2 exons.
UUCUUCUUUCCUCUCUCCUCUUCUUUUAGAUUAUCUUAGUGUAUUGUAAAAUAGAGUAUGAGAUGUUGAGUCUUGAGUGAAUUGUUAAGUAAAGAGCAUUAGUAUUAGUGGUGCUAAAAAGUUACAUUGCUAUUUUUAACACCACCAAAUACAAAUUUAUAACUACAUUGGUGGAGCCAAAGUAAAAUUAUUUGGCUCUACAGCUAUAGCCUUGUAGUGAAUAUAUUAUUUUAUUGUAGUUGAUAUAUUAUUUUAUUAUGUUAAAAACUAAAAUAAAACCACUAAUGUUGGGUAUUUUGUAAAGUGAGAGGGUAAGAUAGAUAAAGUAGCUUUUUGUGAAACUAUAUUACUAAAUUUAUAACUCCACCAAUGUGAAUGCUUAAUGUAAAACCCAAAAAAAAAUUGGCUUUUUUUUUUUUUUUUUUGAGAAUACUCUUAAAUCCUUAUUUGGUUGAGAUAGCAUUAAUGACCUGGACAUUUUUUAAAAAUUAUAAAAUUUUCAGCCUCUACCCAUGAAGGUUUUUUUUUUCCUCAUAUUUUGAAAUUAAAAACACACUUUCUUGAGUUCUCACAGCUUUGUUUCGAGCAAACACCUUACUGAAAACCUUCCUCACUAGCACACCUCUGGUUCACUGGUGACUAGUUUCAGUUGUUUGUGGCUUUGUGCUUAGAUUUGAGUACAUGAAAAUGGGAAUGUGUGUGCAUUUUGUCCUCCACUCAUGUUGAUACCUCGUGUAAGGAUGUUGUAUAAGACCACAGCAACCCUCCAUUGCUAUCUGCUAUGAUUCUUCAACACCACAUUCACUAAGAGGCUCUACAUAUAUGUAAAAUUCAACUCCUUUUACCUGAGAUGUCGAUUGUCAAACAUGAGUUCAAUGCCUUCUUCAUGUAUGAACAACAUGGCCAUACCACCUCUUGAGGACAACAGUAUGUAAUUGUCAUGCGAUUGACUGUCCAAUUGCAGAAUAGGUUAUAACGAUUUAGAGCCAUUUACAAACCUAUCUAAAACAAUGAAAAUUUACAAGUUGUUAUAA